This is a small nucleolar RNA of Onychomys torridus (southern grasshopper mouse), 72 nucleotides long. RefSeq annotates it as small nucleolar RNA SNORD113/SNORD114 family. The record is from RefSeq and is a predicted model, not a curated record. The transcript has a single exon. Lineage: Eukaryota; Metazoa; Chordata; Mammalia; Rodentia; Cricetidae.
UGUAUCAAUGAUGACCGCUCAUGAUGUAUGAUCCGUGGAUCAUGACUACAGGUCUGGGAGGCUGAGCUUCAC